AUCAAAAUGGGUCAAAAUUCAU
This 22-nucleotide small nuclear RNA is filed under the name Arabidopsis thaliana (thale cress). RNAcentral describes it as "snRNA_04353". Lineage: Eukaryota; Viridiplantae; Streptophyta; Magnoliopsida; Brassicales; Brassicaceae. The record is from RNAcentral.